RNAcentral lists this ribosomal RNA (252 nucleotides) under uncultured bacterium. RNAcentral describes it as "partial 16S ribosomal RNA". It matches the Rfam family "Bacterial small subunit ribosomal RNA", at positions 524 to 776 of the family's 1533-position model. The record is from RNAcentral.
UACGGAGGAUGCGAGCGUUUUCCGGAUUUAUUGGGUUUAAAGGGUGCGUAGGCGGACUGUCAAGUCAGCGGUAAAAUUGAGAGGCUCAACCUCUUCCCGCCGUGGAAACUGGUGGUCUUGAGUGGAUGAGAAGUACGCGGAAUGCGUGGUGUAGCGGUGAAAUGCAUAGAUAUCACGCAGAACUCCGAUUGCGAAGGCAGCGUACCGGCAUCCAACUGACGCUGAGGCACGAAAGCGUGGGGAUCAAACAGG